This 525-nucleotide long non-coding RNA is filed under the name Prunus persica (peach). RNAcentral's name for it is "long non-coding RNA (PPER_LNC000562)". Lineage: Eukaryota; Viridiplantae; Streptophyta; Magnoliopsida; Rosales; Rosaceae. The record is from RNAcentral.
CAAUAGGUAGUCUUGUAUAUAUAAAUGUAAUUGCAACUUAUGGGCGUAUUAGGUAAAUCACCACGACGGUUUUAUAAAAUUGGUAUUAGGUAUCGGGUCAACGGGUGGUAGACAGAGUUAUAAAAUCCGCACGAGAAAUUGGUGUUUAAUAAACGGGUGGGUUUCGGGUCAACCCGCUAACCCGCUAUAAUACCUAUCUAACCAGUUUAUUUAGCGGGUCGUGUCACGGGUCGUGUCAACCCGCAUCAAACCGAUUAACCCGUUUUAUUUGCAAACUCUAAAAAACUAAAACCCUAGCAUAAUAUUUAUUAAUAAUUUAAUACCCUCUUAAAAAAAAAAAAUUAACACACAUAUAUAUUCAUAAGUUCAUAACCCUAGCCUCUCACUCAUACGCUCUGGAUACAAACGAACGACCUUUCCAGUUUCCACACAGCCGCCUAGCCUUAGUCUGCUCAGUGCUCACCAAACCAGUUCCCUCCUCUCCAAGUCCAAUCCAAGCCUCAUCUCUUUACUCCCUCUGCUUUG